CAUCCGCCGCGGUAAUACCGAGGGUGCGAGCGUUAAUCGGAUUUACUGGGCGUAAAGCGUGCGUAGGCGGCUUCUUAAGUCGGAUGUGAAAUCCCUGAGCUUAACUUAGGAAUUGCAUUCGAUACUGGGAAGCUAGAGUAUGGGAGAGGAUGGUAGAAUUCCAGGUGUAGCGGUGAAAUGCGUAGAGAUCUGGAGGAAUACCGAUGGCGAAGGCAGCCAUCUGGCCUAAUACUGACGCUGAGGUACGAAAGCAUGGGGAGCAAACAGGAUUAGAUACCCCAGUAGUCCCUGUCUCUUAUAA
This 301-nucleotide ribosomal RNA is filed under the name uncultured bacterium. RNAcentral's name for it is "partial 16S ribosomal RNA". It matches the Rfam family "Bacterial small subunit ribosomal RNA", at positions 509 to 809 of the family's 1533-position model. The record is from RNAcentral.